CCGGUGUAUGUAGCCGUGCUCCGGUGUGUUGCCGAGCAACGGGGUGUGCCGAGCCAAGUGUGAGGGGUCUAGAAGAUGUAGUCUCUGUCGGGACCGUGGUGUGUGCCCGGUCGACGUGAGAGUUCUUCCGGGUUGUGCCGCGUGCGUGCGUAUGUACCUCAUGUAUGUGUUCGAGUCGUUGUGAGAAAUAAAGCCAAGAUACAGGCGUUGGUGCGCCGCGGCGUUCGUCGCCGGAAAAAUCAUGGUGUUUCCUUCAUCUACCUUCGUCCGGCGUUUGGGUCGCCGGUGGGUUUAUCCCAACAUUUGGUAUCAUGAGCUUG
This 320-nucleotide long non-coding RNA is filed under the name Hordeum vulgare. RNAcentral describes it as "long non-coding RNA (HVUL_LNC009524)". The record is from RNAcentral. Lineage: Eukaryota; Viridiplantae; Streptophyta; Magnoliopsida; Poales; Poaceae.